This 253-nucleotide unclassified non-coding RNA is filed under the name Chaetothyriales sp. RNAcentral's name for it is "partial contains 5.8S ribosomal RNA, internal transcribed spacer 2, and large subunit ribosomal RNA". Lineage: Eukaryota; Fungi; Ascomycota; Eurotiomycetes; Chaetothyriales. The record is from RNAcentral.
CGCACAUUGCGCCCACUGGUAUUCCGGUGGGCAUGCCUGUUCGAGCGUCAUUAUCCUCUCUCACAUCCCCCGUGAUGUCGUGUUGGGCUACAGUUUUUCGGAAACUGGGCCUCAAAGAUAAUGGCGGUGUCGUAGGACCCUCUGAUGCAACGAGCUUUCGGGCACGCAUUCGGUCAGGGACUUACGACGCCGGUCAUACCCAAUUUUUUAUCAGGUUGACCUCGGAUCAGGUAGGAAUACCCGCUGAACUUAA